Molecule: non-coding RNA, 29 nt
Filed under: Mus musculus (house mouse)
Lineage: Eukaryota; Metazoa; Chordata; Mammalia; Rodentia; Muridae
Source: RNAcentral
GAUAACGUUUUGGUGUUGCAACGAAAAUG